GCCUCUAGUUCCGGGCGCAGAGGGGUGGCCACGCUCUCCUGUGUCGCUCGCGCCCCUGGCCGCGCCUGGGAGAGCGGACUGGCCUCCCAGAGAGGAUGCGGGGGAAGCCGCACCGGGGCCCACGGGGACCGGCUCAAUCAACCAGCAACUGCAAUUUUAUGUUUCCCAGUACAUUCAUCCUGACAUGCAAAAAAUGUUUUCCUGUGGCCAAUGGCAAAGAUAAAGGAGCAAGAAUCUGAAGCGUUUAAAAGGAAACAAACAAAUAAACCACGUGAUCUAAACCCACAAUCUGAGAAAUUGUCCCUCCUCACGCAGUUUCUAUUCCAGGCUUCACGUGGCCAAUUUGAGAAGAGCCCGUGCAAGAACAGAAAAAUAUGGAACGCUUCAUGAAUUUGCGUGUCAUCCUUGCGAAGGGGCCAUGCUAAUCUUCUCUGUAUCGUUCCAAUUUUAGGAUAUGUGCUGCCAAGAACAAGUGGAGGCCGCGCGUGGUGGCUCACACCUGUAAUCCCAGCACUUUGGGGGACAGAGGCAGGCGGAUCACUUGAGGUCAGGAGUUCGAGAACUGGCCAACAUGGCGAAACCCCGUCUCUACUAAAAAUGCAAAAUUAGCCUGGCGUGUUGGUGCUUGCCUGUAGUCCCAGCUACUCCGGAGGCUGAGGCAGGAGAAUGGCUUGAACCCGGGUGGCGGAGGGUUGCAGUGAGCCAAGAUUGCGCCACAGCACUGCAGCCUGGGCGACGGAGCAAGACAACGUCUCAAAAAAAAAAAAAAAAAAAGACCAAGUGGAGAAAGACAUUUGGGCGAAUGAUUACAACAUGCUGACUCAUCUAGGGUGUCGAGAAGACCGAAGCAAUUUAAAAAACUAUAUUAUAUCAAGGGCACCGUGGAAAACAAUUAAAAAGAUGGGCUCCAGAUGCACAUGACUCCAGAGAAGCAAUUUGACUAAUAUUUCUACCCCAUGAACCCGUUCCUCCCCAGCUAAGUUAACUGGCUGUGGUAGCCUUGAUUCCAGCCUGAAAGAUUUUUCUGUCUGUGCUAACAUUUUAGCAGUUGCUUUCCCUCUGUUUUGACUGUGACCACGAGAGUAAAGCACCAGGCUCUUCAAACGGAUUUAAGAAUUUAUUAGUUUUUCAGGAGAUGGUGAGAAAUUUACUCAAGAUUCACCUUUUUGUUUAAGGUAAAGUUUUCCAAAGGGAAACUUUCCAACUUUCAUUUUAGUUUCAUUUAAUGUAGAAAAAAAGUUUUUAUUUUCAUGCAGUAUUCUAACUUUAACAGUAGUUUGUGGUCCCCCCCCUCCACAGGUAGAACAUUCCGUGAUAUUUUUUACAGCAUUUGUUAUGUAGACUGGUCUUGGAGGUUUUAUAUGAAAUAUUAUUGAAUGACUCUGCGUGUGAACAAUGAAUGAUAGUUUCGUAAACAACCUUUAGGAGGCAGACAUAGCUUCGGUUUAGCACUAUAAAAACAUGUCACUAUACAAUAGCCUGUAGAAGGUGCUAUGAAAAUACAAAGAAGUAAAACAAAUAGAUAAAAUGCAAUAUGUAAUAAAAUCAUGAAUAAAAUGAUAAGAAUAAUACAUAAAGUAAAAGGGUUUAUGUGGGACUGGGUGGCAUUCAUGUCUGUAUGAGAGACAGGGAAAUGGACAAGAGUGGGUUGAGGGAGUAUCUAGGCUACAAAUCCAUCUAUGUAUGUAUCUUAUGUUGAAUGGAGCUUCAGAAGCCAGAACAUUUAAUAGGACAGGUGGCUGAUACAGGCUGCUAAAUUUAGAUAAUCCCAUUUGUUGAAGUACAACAGGUACCACCGCUGCUUGUUUUAAUAUUUUCUCUGGACUUGCUUCUGUAGCAUAAAGACUACCUCCCCUGGGCUUCCUUAUAUGGAAAUAAAUUAUAUGUAAAAAUUAUUCAUCUCCACCUGUGAAGAGCUUUUCAUGUUUCUAAAAAUUGUAACACUUUUUCAGUGAUUUUUUUUUUUUUUUUUUUUUUUUUUUGGUAGAGAUGGGGUCUUGCUAUGUUUCCCAGGCUGCUCUCAAACUCUUGGCCUCAAGCAAUCCUCCCACCUUAACCCCACAAAGUGUUGGGAUUACAGGUGUGAGCCACCACACCCGGCCUGGAACAAUUUUUGGAAGAGAAAGAAAUAUUUCCCAUAACCAUCCUACUUGAGAUAGUGAAGGCAUCUGUUUUGUUUCACAAACUGAAGCAGGAUAGCAAGAGUCAAAUACGUUUUCAGGCAGAAAGAAUUUUAUCAGAAGAGACAUUUUGCUGGAAAAUAGGUGGACUGAAAGUCUGUUGAUGUGUGUAGGAAACAUCAUCGUUAAUCCUUUGUGUGUGUAGGCACACAAGUUAAAAUAGAAAACAGUAAAAUUAAGUGUCGUAAGGAAAAUAUGAUAAGCAGGCAUCACAAUUAUUAGAUACUCUUUAUUGUAUAGUGUAUAAAUGGCUCUGUAACACCAUAAUGACAGUACACCUAGGAGCCCACGGCUGAUAGGUCCCAGAGUAAAUAAUUUAGCUGUUGGUGUAUAUUGAAUAGUAUUUUGUUUGGUCACAGUUUUGGGAAAUCUUCCUCAUUCAUUUUAGAUAUUGAGGCUUUCUUUUUCAGGCUAGAAAAAUUAAUGUAGGCUGGGUGCUAUGGCUCAUGCCUGUAAUCCCAGCACUUUCGGAGGCCGAGGCAGGAGGAUUGCUUGAGCUCAGGAGUUCGAGACCAAACCUGGGCAACGUAGUGAGACCCUGUCUCUAUAAAAUUUUUAAAAAUAGAAUUAAAAAUUAAAAAAAUAGGGGUUGGGGAGAGAGAGCAUCAGUUAGAAUAGCUAAUGGAUGCUGGGCUUAAUAUCUAGGUGCAGCAAACCACCAUGGCACACAUUUGCCUAUGUAACAAACCCUCACAUCCUGCACAUGUACCCCGAACUUAAAAGCUGAAGAAAAAAAAUUAAAUAAAAAAUUAAAAAUAAAGAAAAAAUUAACGUAGAGGAAUGUUAGCCUAUGACAUCAGAAAAUUUUGAAUAAAUUUAAAAUUCUUGAUAGUUUAUGCCUGUUUCUUCUAUUCGAGAUAAUAUGCACUUAGUAAAUAUAAAGAUGGCAUUUUACAGUCAUUUUCAUACACCAACUGUGUGCCAAAAGAUUCUGUAUAACAGAGGUGGAUUAUGAAAGCAACCAACCACAAUUUAACAGAAAUUUAAGAAAUUUAAACUUAAAGGAAUCUAAACAUAAUUUACAGAAUAAUGUGUUCUAAUGAGGGCUUUUUGUUUAAAUUAUUUUAAUUGCUCUUUAUUUAUAUCUUCAUUCUUAUGAAAAAGUUUUCCAAACUUAUUAUAGCUGUUUUAGAAUGUUCGAAAACUUCAAAAAAGAAAAUUUAGACUGGGCGCGGUGGCUUAUGCCUGUAAUCCCCGCACUUUGGAAGGCCUAGGUGGACGGAUCACUUGAGGUCAGCAGUUUGAAACCAGCCUGGCCAACAUGGUGAGACCCUGUCUCUACUAAAUAUACAAAAAUUAGUCGGGUGUGGUGGUGGGCGCCUGUAAUCCCAGCUACUCGGGAGGCUGAGGCAGGAGAAUUGCUUGAAACUGGGAAGUGGAGGUUGCAGUGAGCUGAGAUCACACCACUGCACUCCAGCCUUGGUGACAAGCAAGAAUCCAUCUCAAAAAAAAAAGAAAAGAAAAUUAAAACUGAGAAAACCAGUAUGAAUAUUUUGGCAGUUCCUUCUAGGGUUUUCUCUUAAUUUCCUUUUGUUUCUCUCUCUCUCCUUCAAAGCACACAUACACUUAAAUGUACACAGUUGAAUUUGUACUGUUUAUAGUCUUAUAUCCUGCUUUUUCCACUUAACAUACUAUGAGCAUUUUUCCAUGUCAUUAAAUAUGCUUUGAAUAUGUUCUUGGCCACAUAGAAUUCCAUCCUAUUGAUGCACCUGUUUUCUUUUAAGCAGAGACACAUGCCAUGCUUUCCAGUCAUGCUGGACUCUCAAAAGCCAAAGAAAAUACCUUGUGUUGAUCUACCAUAAGCCUCUUAUAAACGUCCAUUUUUUAUUUCAUUUAUUAAAUGUACCCAUGGUACAAACGCACCUCUGGACACUAGAUACAAUCAAUAGUUAAUAAGCAGUCUAAAGAAAAUGCCAGUGAGCAGUGAGCUCUGUCCCCUUGAUGAUAAGUAUUAGUCACCCACGUCUCUAUUACAAGUUUAUAAGGUGUCAACAAGUGUCGCAAAUGCUUUUUCCAUUUUGUGAUAGCCCCAAAUGAAUUUCAAUCUCUCAGGCACCCACCUCAAGAACUUCAGAUUCUAACAGGGCAGUUUUGAGUUUUAAUAUUAAAACUUCUAAUAUAAAUGCUACAAAAUUCCAAAAACACCAUUUAACUUUACACUUAGUUUUGUGAAUUUGAAUAAUUUUUAAAUUAUUUUAUUUCAGUUUGUUUUCCCACCUUCAAUCAGGGUAACUGAUUUAGCUUUAAAACAAUCUGCCAGAAACUUUGGUUCUGACCUCUUUAGGGCUGUAACUAGAAGUAAUGUAUCUGUAACACACACCAAGCAUAAAUGAACCCUUUAAUCCUCAGGAGGGCACUGUGGAACUACGUUCUUAGGGUUGUCUGCUGUGGGAAGGUUCUUUUGUUACUCAAAUGUGAGGGGUGCUGGGACAGGCCUCCACAGAAAACUUUUGUAUUUUUAUUUACUUUAAAAAACAAACCAUAAAGAUUUUUUUCAAAUAUGAAACUGAAAUGUAUAUAUUUCAUAAAUAUUUUCAUACUAAACUGAGCAAAUUUAAGAAUGAUUAAGCUGUUUCUACUGGGAAAAUCAUAGGUAAGGAAACUGCUUUCAUGUAGCUUUAUGUACAUUUGGAAAGAUUAAACCUGAACUGGGUUUUUAAUCUUAUAAUUUUUAAACGUACAAUAUUCAAGAGUUCUCAGCCCUAUAUUGAUAGUACUUAUUGUAAAACUAAAUAGUUUUUUCAAAUAAAAAAAGGUAUUUUAA
Long non-coding RNA from Pongo pygmaeus (Bornean orangutan), 4944 nucleotides. RefSeq lists it as uncharacterized. Lineage: Eukaryota; Metazoa; Chordata; Mammalia; Primates; Hominidae. The record is from RefSeq and is a predicted model, not a curated record. The transcript is spliced from 4 exons.